Molecule: ribosomal RNA, 425 nt
Filed under: uncultured bacterium
Lineage: Bacteria
Description: partial 16S ribosomal RNA
Rfam family: Bacterial small subunit ribosomal RNA
Source: RNAcentral
GUGGGGAAUCUUAGACAAUGGGCGCAAGCCUGAUCUAGCCAUGCCGCGUGAGCGAUGAAGGCCUUAGGGUUGUAAAGCUCUUUCAGUGGGGAAGAUAAUGACUGUACCCACAGAAGAAGCCCCGGCUAACUCCGUGCCAGCAGCCGCGGUAAUACGGAGGGGGCUAGCGUUGUUCGGAAUUACUGGGCGUAAAGCGCACGUAGGCGGACUGGAAAGUCAGGGGUGAAAUCCCGGGGCUCAACCCCGGAACUGCCUUUGAAACUCCCAGUCUUGAGGUCGAGAGAGGUGAGUGGAAUUCCGAGUGUAGAGGUGAAAUUCGUAGAUAUUCGGAAGAACACCAGUGGCGAAGGCGACUCACUGGCCCGUUACUGACGCUGAGGCGCGAAAGCGUGGGGAGCAAACAGGAUUAGAAACCCUGGUAGUCC